Molecule: ribosomal RNA, 459 nt
Filed under: uncultured bacterium
Lineage: Bacteria
Description: partial 16S ribosomal RNA
Rfam family: Bacterial small subunit ribosomal RNA
Source: RNAcentral
CCUACGGGUGGCAGCAGUGAGGAAUAUUGGUCAAUGGACGAGAGUCUGAACCAGCCAAGUAGCGUGAAGGAUGACUGCCCUAUGGGUUGUAAACCUCUUUUAUCAAGGAAUAAAACGAGUCACGUGUGCCUUUUUGCAUGUACUCGAUGAAUAAGGAUCGGCUAACUCCGUGCCAGCAGCCGCGGUAAUACGGAGGAUGCGAGCGUUAUCCGGAUUUAUGGGGUUUAAAGGGUGCGUAGAGGGUUGUUCAAGUCAGCGGUCAAAUUGUGGGGCUCAACGUCGGACUGCCAUUGAAACUGGGAGUCUUGAGUGCACGUGAGGUAGGCGGAAUUCGUGGUGUAGCGGUGAAAUGCAUAGAUAUCACGAAGAACCCCGAUUGCGAAGGCAGCUUACUAACGUGUGACUGACAUUGAUGCUCGAAAGUGUGGGUAUCGAACAGGAUUAGAUACCCGAGUAGUC